GUUAGGAAUCUUCCACAAUGGGGGCAACCCUGAUGGAGCAACACCGCGUGCUGGAUGAAGGCCUUCGGGUCGUAAACAGCUUUUGUAUACGAAGAAUAUGACGGUAAUAUACGAAUAAGGGUCGGCUAACUACGUGCCAGCAGCCGCGGUCAUACGUAGGACCCAAGCGUUAUCCGGAGUGACUGGGCGUAAAGAGUUGCGUAGGCGGCUUAUUAAGGGAGUAGUGAAAUCUGGUGGCUCAACCAUCAACACAUUGCUCGAACUGAUAGGCUUGAGAAUGGUAGAGGUAGUUGGAAUUUCUUGUGUAGGAGUGACAUCCGUAGAUAUAAGAAGGAACACCAAUGGCGUAGGCAGACUACUGGACCAUUUCUGACGCUGAGGCACGAAAGCGUGGGGAGCGAACAGGAUUAGAAACCCGGGUAGUCC
RNAcentral lists this ribosomal RNA (426 nucleotides) under uncultured bacterium. RNAcentral describes it as "partial 16S ribosomal RNA". It matches the Rfam family "Bacterial small subunit ribosomal RNA", at positions 354 to 796 of the family's 1533-position model. The record is from RNAcentral.